UGAGUAAUACGUGAGUAACCUGCCCUUGACUCUGGGAUAAGCCUGGGAAACUGGGUCUAAUACUGGAUACUACCUCUUACCGCAUGGUGGGUGGUGGAAAGGGUUUUACUGGUUUUGGAUGGGCUCACGGCCUAUCAGCUUGUUGGUGGGGUAAUGGCUCACCAAGGCGACGACGGGUAGCCGGCCUGAGAGGGUGACCGGCCACACUGGGACUGAGACACGGCCCAGACUCCUACGGGAGGCAGCAGUGGGGAAUAUUGCACAAUGGGCGGAAGCCUGAUGCAGCGACGCCGCGUGAGGGAUGACGGCCUUCGGGUUGUAAACCUCUUUCAGUAGGGAAGAAGCGAGAGUGACGGUACCUGCAGAAGAAGCGCCGGCUAACUACGUGCCAGCAGCCGCGGUAAUACGUAGGGCGCAAGCGUUGUCCGGAAUUAUUGGGCGUAAAGAGCUCGUAGGCGGUUUGUCGCGUCUGCUGUGAAAGCCCGGGGCUCAACCCCGGGUCUGCAGUGGGUACGGGCAGACUAGAGUGCAGUAGGGGAGACUGGAAUUCCUGGUGUAGCGGUGAAAUGCGCAGAUAUCAGGAGGAACACCGAUGGCGAAGGCAGGUCUCUGGGCUGUUACUGACGCUGAGGAGCGAAAGCAUGGGGAGCGAACAGGAUUAGAUACCCUGGUAGUCCAUGC
RNAcentral lists this ribosomal RNA (681 nucleotides) under Kocuria sp. EGI80150. RNAcentral's name for it is "bacterial SSU rRNA". It matches the Rfam family "Bacterial small subunit ribosomal RNA", at positions 107 to 800 of the family's 1533-position model. Lineage: Bacteria; Bacillati; Actinomycetota; Actinomycetes; Micrococcales; Micrococcaceae. The record is from RNAcentral.